Molecule: ribosomal RNA, 253 nt
Filed under: Fusicatenibacter saccharivorans
Lineage: Bacteria; Bacillati; Bacillota; Clostridia; Lachnospirales; Lachnospiraceae
Description: partial 16S ribosomal RNA
Rfam family: Bacterial small subunit ribosomal RNA
Source: RNAcentral
UACGUAGGGGGCAAGCGUUAUCCGGAUUUACUGGGUGUAAAGGGAGCGUAGACGGCAAGGCAAGUCUGAUGUGAAAACCCAGGGCUUAACCCUGGGACUGCAUUGGAAACUGUCUGGCUCGAGUGCCGGAGAGGUAAGCGGAACUCCUAGUGUAGCGGUGAAAUGCGUAGAUAUUAGGAAGAACACCAGUGGCGAAGGCGGCUUACUGGACGGUAACUGACGUUGAGGCUCGAAAGCGUGGGGAGCAAACAGG